RNAcentral lists this ribosomal RNA (408 nucleotides) under uncultured bacterium. Its description in RNAcentral is "partial 16S ribosomal RNA". It matches the Rfam family "Bacterial small subunit ribosomal RNA", at positions 28 to 526 of the family's 1533-position model. The record is from RNAcentral.
GAUGAACGCUGGCGGCGUGCUUAACACAUGCCAGUCGAACGGAGUGGCGAACGGGUGAGUAACACGUGGGUGAUCUGCCCUGUACUUCGGGAUAAGCUUGGGAAACUGGGUCUAAUACCGGUGAGUAUGGGAUGAGCUCGCGGCCUUUCCGCGUGUGGGUGGGGUCAUGGCCUACCAAGGCGUCGACUGGUAGCCGGCCUGAGCGGGUGUACGGCAAGAUUGGGACUGAGAUACGGGCCAGACGCCGACGGGAGGCAGCAGGGGGGAAGAUUGCACAAUGGGCGCAAGCCUGAUGCAGCGACGACGCGUGGGGGAUGAAGGCCGUCGGGUUGUAAACUCCUUUCGCUAGGGACGCGGUACCUGGAGAAGAAGCACCGGCUAACUACGUGCCAGCAGCCGCGGUAAUAC